This 464-nucleotide ribosomal RNA is filed under the name uncultured Klebsiella sp. RNAcentral describes it as "bacterial SSU rRNA". It matches the Rfam family "Bacterial small subunit ribosomal RNA", at positions 338 to 795 of the family's 1533-position model. The record is from RNAcentral. Lineage: Bacteria; Pseudomonadati; Pseudomonadota; Gammaproteobacteria; Enterobacterales; Enterobacteriaceae.
CCUACGGGGGGCAGCAGUGGGGAAUAUUGCACAAUGGGCGCAAGCCUGAUGCAGCCAUGCCGCGUGUGUGAAGAAGGCCUUCGGGUUGUAAAGCACUUUCAGCGGGGAGGAAGGCGGUGAGGUUAAUAACCUCAUCGAUUGACGUUACCCGCAGAAGAAGCACCGGCUAACUCCGUGCCAGCAGCCGCGGUAAUACGGAGGGUGCAAGCGUUAAUCGGAAUUACUGGGCGUAAAGCGCACGCAGGCGGUCUGUCAAGUCGGAUGUGAAAUCCCCGGGCUCAACCUGGGAACUGCAUUCGAACUGGCAGGCUAGAGGCUUGUAGGGGGGGGUAGAAUUGCAGGUGUAGCGGUGAAAUGCGUAGAGAUCUGGAGGAAUACCGGUGGCGAAGGCGGCCCCCUGGACAAAGACUGACGCUCAGGUGCGAAGGCGUGGGGAGCAAACAGGAUUAGAUACCCUUGUAGUC